CGGGCUACGCCAAGCAUGGAGACUUCUCGCGGGCGAUCCAGUUCUUCGCAGAGAUGGAGAGAAACCACGUCCUCCCGGACAAGAUCACGUACGUGGCGGUGCUGGGCGCGAUCCAGGAUCUGGAACAGGGAAGGAGAAUUCACGUCAGGAUCCAAGAGACGGGCUAUGAUACCGACCUGGUGGUGGCGAACGCGCUGAUGAAGAUGUACGCGGCGUGCUCCAGCCUCGCCGACGCUACUCGGGUUUUCGAAGCCAUGGAUCACAGGGACGUGGUGUCGUGGACCUCGAUCAUCGCAGCA
This 299-nucleotide long non-coding RNA is filed under the name Selaginella moellendorffii. RNAcentral's name for it is "long non-coding RNA (SMOE_LNC001197)". The record is from RNAcentral. Lineage: Eukaryota; Viridiplantae; Streptophyta; Lycopodiopsida; Selaginellales; Selaginellaceae.